UAUCAAGCGAUCAUGUACCUGGCCUGGAGGGUUAUCGAGGCUCCGCCCUGGAGCCUGGCCUGUAGUUGGGGCCCGUGGGCAAGUGCCUGGUGGCCAGGCCUUUGCCCAUGGGCUCUGGCCAGGCCUAGUCCAAACCGGAGACAUGGGCUCAUUGCCCACCACCCACAGGAGGAAGCAGAAGGGUCCAGUGCAUUGUGGAUCUGAUAGCAGACCAAGGUGGGGGCCUUGGUGGUCUGAUCCUCAGUUACAGAAACUAGCUUUUGGAACAUGGAACGUCACCUCUCUGGCCGGGAAGGAGCAAGAGCUUGCGGAGGAGGUUGAGCGUUACCGGCUAUAUAUAGUCAACCUCACCUUGACACCUAGCGUCGGUUCUGGAACCCAAGUCCUUGAGAGGGGUUGGACUCUCCCUUUUGUUGGAGUUGCCCUGGGUGAGAAGCGGAGGGCAGGGGUGGGCUUGUUAAUACCCUCCAA
Molecule: long non-coding RNA, 471 nt
Organism: Sphaeramia orbicularis (orbiculate cardinalfish)
Lineage: Eukaryota; Metazoa; Chordata; Actinopteri; Kurtiformes; Apogonidae
Exons: 3
Source: RefSeq, a predicted model, not a curated record